AGAAGUUGAGAAUGGGCUCAACAAAAGGUUAUCAGAGCCCAAUCGGAUGGGGUGCAGUAGCAUUGAGGGAGUGUGCACACAGGCCAAAAUAGCUUGGGCCAAAGGCCCAAGUCUCACCAACACCAUUAGGUUUCACAACAAAAACUUCAGAGCGUACCUUCAAACCUUCCCCAGAAUGAGCGAUUGUGAGACCUCACAGACCAACUGAAGCCGCUCACGUUAACCUCGUAUCAUUGACGCCGGUACAUCGUCGAUGAUAGAGAAGAAUCACCUUCAAUCGGUAAUGCGUGGUCGACGUAGAACAAGAAUCAGCCUCAAUCGAAGAUCCACCGUCGGCGAAAAGCGAGAGUCAACCUUCAAUCGGAAAUGCGUUGUUGAUGAAAAUUGAUCGUUGACGAUGAUUGGGGUGGAGCGAUGCGUCGCCGCUUGAAGUGGAACGUAGAACGACGAUGCUCGAGUUGAAAGAUGAAGAACGGAAGCGAACCAAAUCUGAAAAGAUUACAGGUUUGAAGAGACUUGAUGUAAUGGAAGGUGGCUGCUACAAGCUUCAAGACAACCUGUUUUCGUGACUAAGUCCAAAUUGAUUUCAUCCUAAUUGCUUGAUUUUGGUCAUUAGGAACCUAUUCCCAUUUGUAGCAAAUUUCACUGUAAUUACAUUUGGUUUUUUUUUUAAGACAAAUGUGUGCUUGGAUUAUGUAACUUAUUGAAUUAAAAGUCUAAUAACCAUUAAUAAUUAUGUAUUCAA
Long non-coding RNA from Lathyrus oleraceus (garden pea), 745 nucleotides. RefSeq lists it as uncharacterized. The transcript is spliced from 2 exons. The record is from RefSeq and is a predicted model, not a curated record. Lineage: Eukaryota; Viridiplantae; Streptophyta; Magnoliopsida; Fabales; Fabaceae.